GACGAACGCUGGCGGCGUGCCUAAUACAUGCAAGUUGAGCGAUGAAGAUUGGCGCUUGCACCAAUUUGAAGAGCAGCGAACGGGUGAGUAACGCGUGGGGAAUCUGCCUUUGAGCGGGGGACAACAUUUGGAAACGAAUGCUAAUACCGCAUAACAACUUUAAACAUAAGUUUUAAGUUUGAAAGAUGCAAUUGCAUCACUCAAAGAUGAUCCCGCGUUGUAUUAGCUAGUUGGUGAGGUAAAGGCUCACCAAGGCGAUGAUACAUAGCCGACCUGAGAGGGUGAUCGGCCACAUUGGGACUGAGACACGGCCCAAACUCCUACGGGAGGCAGCAGUAGGCAAUCUUCGGCAAUGGACGAAAGUCUGACCGAGCAACGCCGCGUGAGUGAAGAAGGUUUUCGGAUCGUAAAACUCUGUUGGUAGAGAAGAACGUUGGUGAGAGUGGAAAGCUCAUCAAGUGACGGUAACUACCCAGAAAGGGACGGCUAACUACGUG
This 497-nucleotide ribosomal RNA is filed under the name uncultured bacterium. RNAcentral describes it as "partial 16S ribosomal RNA". It matches the Rfam family "Bacterial small subunit ribosomal RNA", at positions 28 to 507 of the family's 1533-position model. The record is from RNAcentral.